Molecule: ribosomal RNA, 426 nt
Filed under: uncultured bacterium
Lineage: Bacteria
Description: bacterial SSU rRNA
Rfam family: Bacterial small subunit ribosomal RNA
Source: RNAcentral
UGGGGAAUAUUGGACAAUGGGCGCAAGCCUGACGACGCAACGCCGCGUGGAGGAUGAAGACCUUCGGGUCGUAAACUCCUUUCGACCGAGAUGAACAGCCACUGACCGAAUACGUCGGUGGCCUGACAGUAUCGAGGGACGAAGCUCCGGCUAACUACGUGCCAGCAGCCGCGGUAAUACGUAGGGAGCAAGCGUUGUUCGGAUUUACUGGGCGUAAAGGGCGCGUAGGCGGCGCGGUAAGUCACUUGUGAAAUCUCUGAGCUUAACUCAGAACGGCCAAGUGAUACUGCAGUGCUAGAGUGUAGAAGGGGCAAUCGGAAUUCUUGGUGUAGCGGUGAAAUGCGUAGAUAUCAAGAGGAACACCUGAGGUGAAGACGGGUUGCUGGUCUAACACUGACGCUGAGGCGCGAAAGCCAGGGGAGCAAA